UCCAUCUGCAUUUGGUCUCUUCCGGAACCUUUAUAAGGUGUUCAGGCCCCCGGGGAAUCUUUUAGCCUGAACACCCUGCAGAGGAAGAGACAGAGGACACCAUCAGUUCCAGCUGAGGUGCCACUGGACAAAACACAAACAAUAAAAUACUUCAAUUUG
Molecule: long non-coding RNA, 159 nt
Organism: Gambusia affinis (western mosquitofish)
Lineage: Eukaryota; Metazoa; Chordata; Actinopteri; Cyprinodontiformes; Poeciliidae
Exons: 2
Source: RefSeq, a predicted model, not a curated record